RNAcentral lists this long non-coding RNA (9288 nucleotides) under Heterocephalus glaber (naked mole-rat). Its description in RNAcentral is "lncRNA (ENSHGLG00000045618.1)". Lineage: Eukaryota; Metazoa; Chordata; Mammalia; Rodentia; Bathyergidae. The record is from RNAcentral.
ACCCUUUUGUUUCUCUGGCUUCUAUCCCACCCCCAGCAAAUUCCCACAUGGCAUCUGGGAAUCAAAGAAUCUUUACCCUAUAAAAACAAAAUCAGGGCCAUAGCGCCAGAGACACAGAGAGAGAGUGGAGACCCACAGACCACGGCCGGCACUGCAGGUAGUGGUGGCUUCAGAAGUUGGUGGCUUUUGCACUUCCUGGGAGCCCUGAAGGAAAAGCCCAGACUCGGUGUCCGAAAAGCCCUUUGCUGCUCACUGUGUGGCUACAGGUAGCUCUGGGGAGCCCAGUGGGGGCGGGUGGGCACAGGUUGGGCAGAUGAGGAGGAGAAGCAGAGGGAGGCCCAGCAUUGCCCAGUCCGGACUUUGUCCCACGGGGAGGGCUCAGGCUGGGAUUUUGGGGUGUAAGGACUCUAGCCACCCCGAGGACCAUGGGGGUGUCACAUGGACAUCUGCAUUGGGGGCCUGGCUAGGGAGCCCACAGAGUCCAGGAAAGCCCAUGGUUAGAUGGUAAUUCUGGACCAAGGAGCCCAUUGCUCUUGGGGUUCAGCUCAGGGCCUUUGCAUCUGCCAUUGCCUCUGCCGGGCAAAACUCUUCCCUGCUUAGCACAUGGAUGCAAAACCUCGCUGGCCUCUCAGCCUCUUGCUUCUUUUUUUUCCUGUUGCUCCUGUCACUUAUUUCUGUUUCUUAUCUGUUUCUUCCAACUAAUAUACAAGGGAUCUUGAAUGUCGUUUCACUGCCACCGCCCCAGGGCCUGAAAAGAAACUAUCACGCAAAGGAAAUAAAUAGAUGCGUGAAUCAUCAAUGAGCGGACAACAACCUGGGGCUGCUGAGUACCGUCCGUCGGGGUGUGGACUGCACAACUCUGGAGGUCACCAUUCUGAAGGACGGUGCUCCAAGAGCAGGCCACCGUGUAUGGCCCCACUGCACACAGCAGUCCUGGGCUCCUCUGUAACCCCACCAUGCUUGCCCCCUGCACGGCUGUGCUGGCUCUGCUUUCUACUUCCAGACUUGUCCCCCCCCCCCCCCCCCUCCAUUUGCACUGAGUUUUCCACUUCUGAUGCCCAAGAGUGAGUCCAGUCCAUCUGGCUGUCUGCUUUAGGCUGGGUCACGGGGGCUCUGGUCAGCUUGCAAUGGUGGCAGCCAUGUGACCGCCUUUCACCUGCCUGUUUCUGGCUGGGGAGGGACGGCAAGGUUGCCUGUGGUGGCUGCCCACCUACUUCCUUCCUGGGCCCCUGCAGACCCUGAGAAAUGCUCUCAUUUCACUCCCACACCUCCCCAAGAAGGUGGCACCGAUUAUACCCACUUCACAGGUGAACUGUCUGAAGUUGUCAGGGUGACUGAGUUCAAAUGUGACUUCUCGCUCUCUGCUCGUGUAACCCUAGGCAGACUGCGUAAUCUCGCCGAGCCUCAGUUUCCUCAUCUGUAAAAUGCACAUAACAAUAAUCCCUCUUUUGAAAGAGGCGUGUGGAUCAAGUGAGGCGAUACAGGUAGCAACGGCUGUCGGCUGUCGGUGCAACGUCUGUGAGCACAUGCUCCUCUUCUCUGGCCCAGAAGUGCUGGUGCCUGGUGUGCAGAGAGCUGGGGUGUGGGCGCAUGCUGUGCACCCCUAGUUUGUGUCCCUGGGGCUCAGCUAUCAUGUGAGCAGAGAGGGAGGAAAGAAAGCAGCCACGCCUGUGUUCCAAGCAAGUGUUCUUGUAAGUCUGCAGCCAACUGCCAAAGCCCUGUGGCCACCUGAUCACCCUGAGCCAUGGGGUUCUAAGAUGAGCCCCACCCUCAGAGUGGGGACUCGGGGUGGGGGGACAGCUGCCAUCACACAGUGGUAGCAGAGUUCGGGGGACGAUCCCACCCCUGAUUUCGAGUCAGGCGUUGCUCCAGACGAACCCUACUUGCUCUUGGAGAGUUCAUUCAUGCGUUCACAACAUACACGGCACUGUUUUGGAAUCUUUUCACAGCAAGGAACAAAUCAGAACAAAAUCUGUACCCACAUCUUAGUGGAGGAAGAGAGACAAUAAAAAAUUAAACAUGUAAGUACACAUUAUGAGUGGUGGUAAACACAGAAAAUGGGGAUUGUUCCUGACAGGGUGAAGGGAAGGUAUCAAUCAUGAAAUUAUAUUUGAGCAGAGCCCCAGAGGAGGUGAAAGGGGACAUAGAUAUUGGGAGACAAGCUUCCUAAGCAGAUGGAUCAGCAAGUGCAAAGGCCCUGGUGUGGGCAUUAUGCUAUAAGACAGAAUUGAGGACACAGCUGAUGUUUCUUAGUGUAGCAUUCCAGAUGGAGUAUAGGAUGCCUGGUUAUGCUGGAAUCACAGUUAAACAAUGGCCAAUUCUAAUAUAAGGAUGUCCCAUACAAUUUGGGACAUAUUUAUACUAAAAAAAUUUAUUCAUUGUUUAAUUGAAAUUAAAAUUUAACUGUGUUAUAUUUUUAUUUGCUAUAUCUGGUGAAUCUCUUCAGUGGUCAGUCAUCGUGUAAGGCACAGAAAUAAAGAUCUUGGUGCUUCUACAAGGGGCCCUGGCUGGAAGACACAGGGAGUCAGCACAGGGGGGCCUGGCAGUGGAUGCUGGUCUUGCUGUUUGGGACCGUGGGCCUUGGCUGAGCCCUCCGCCUUAUGAGCCUUCCUAACUCAGCUGGAGGUGGGAGACGCAGUAUCUGAUUCCGGGGGCAGUAGGAAGAUCAGAGAUGAGCUUCAGGCAGCACGCCUUUAAUCCCAGCUCCUUGGGAGGCUGAGACAAGGUCACAAGUUUGAGUUCAGCCUGGGCAUCAUGGAGAGGCCUGGUCUCCAAAUGAAAAAUAAAAAGUUCUGAGGACAUAGCUCAGCGGGCCCAACCCCCAAUACUGCCAGAAACCCUAAAACAACAACAACAACAACAAUAACAAAACUGGAGUGAAACCGCAAACCUUUCUGCCCUGUCGCCUUGUCAUUGACACUAACUCCUAUCAAGCUUCGUAUUGUGUAUUGUGUACGAGAUGUGCUCGCAUCUGCUGAUCUUCUGAAACUAUCUUUUCACAUGAGUCUUGCUUAAAAAGACAUUUCACCAAGAGGGAGGCAAUAAAGAUAAAACUUGAAGUAAAAGAAACAGCAAUUUUUUUUUUUUUUGUACCAGCGAUUGAACUCGGGUCCUUGCACUUGCACAGCAGGCGGCGAAACCACUGAGCUAAAUCCCUGGCGCAAAAGGACGAUUUUUUUAAAAAUGAGCAGAAACACAGCAAGGGCAGUGAGGGAAGAGAACAGAGACAGCGAGCAGAACUGCGGAGUGGUGACCCGGGAGUUGAAAGCCCAGAGGACUCCCUGCCUGCACUGACUCACUGUGGGACUCGGGGCUGAUGGUUUCUCUCUGGGUCUCAAUUUCUCUAUCUUCAAGAUGAAGGCACUGAACCAUAGAUCUACAGAAUUUUAUUGUAACUGACGGAAAGCUCAGCACACAUUGGCUUGAACAGCCAAGUCCUGGGUGGGACUGGCUUCAGGUUCAGCAGGCUCCAGCGGCUCAUGGUGCUGUCCGUCUGCUGCCUUUUUGCUUGCUUCUCUAUAUAUCUAGCUCUCUCUCUCUCUCUCUCUCUCUCUUUCUCUCUGGCUGUCCUUCAAGGGAGCAGGUAGACAUUGCUUUAAAGAUGGGGAGUCCCCAAACAGAAGAGGUUCAAAUGUCACUGGGAGGAAGGAGACGCUGAUAAGCUAGAGCAAUGAACAUUCCUGCUCUUAAAAAAAGAUUUCUGGUUUUUGAUGUUUCUGCAGGGAGAGGAGUUUAUCAGAUCUGUCACCAGCCCAUGGGCAGUUUUCAGCUACUCACUUUGCAGCCCUUGAGGGGCUUGCAGGGAGUUGCUUGACCAGGUCCUUUGGCUGCAUAAGGGCCGUGCCUUCUUCAAACCCCAUAGCACCCUUUGAAAGGCCAGGGGCACCCUGGGUUUGCAGAAGGGACUGGUAGCUGUGUUGUCACAUGCACGCCCAGGUUGCCAGCCUCUCCAGAAACUCAGAACUCUCUGGUAGCUUUGGAAUCAAAUUCCUGGACCGCCUCCCCGUGGGAAUGAGGUCUGUUCACUGUGGUGCCCACUCCUCGUGAAUCCAGGAGAGGAUGCCCCUUGAAUCCAGUGUCCCUUGCCACUUGUCAUCAAGUCUGUGCUCACGUGGGGUUGGGAGGAAGGUAAAUGUUCCUUGGGCUUUCUACUGUGGGCCCUGCAUCUCUUCGCUGGUGACCUGGCUUCUGCCUUAGGCGGUAAGCGUGUGUGACUUCUGCCAUAAAGGAGGCAGGGAAGAGGGGUGAAGAGGCACUCUGUAUACUCCCUGAACACUGAUAGGGCACCUGCUAUGUGCAAGUGCCCCCAGCACCGGGAGAGACACAAGCCUUCUGUCGGGUGAGCUCCAGUGAAGGACUCAGGUCCUCGAGAGGGUCAGCACAAAGGUGAAACACACCACAGCGGUGACCAGAGACCCAUCGACUAAAAACCAGGCCUCAAGAUAAAGACAAGAGGACCAGACCUACAUACUUCCUCAAAGAACAAACACUGGGCCUAAUGAAGUCUAGAUAGACAUCAGCCACCCUGGUGGGUGACCAGAGAUCUGUGAACCCCCCACUUCCUAGGAGAAUCUUUGUUCUUUCCAUCUACGCUUCUUAGGUGGCUUGUUUCCCAAUUGAACCACCAUUACCUAAGUGCCUACACUUGUAACCUGAUUGGAUGUUCAUGGAUGUGUCCCACGUUGUACGUACGUGGGUUUCACCCUAUAAAACUCCUCUGUAAAGCAGGGUCCCGGGCUACCCACUUGGGGGUAGCCUGCCCCUCGGGAGCUCUCCUAUCCAUAAAUACCUUCUACUCUUAACCCCUGUUGUUCCUAGAACUCAUCGAUUUCUAGAGAACAACAAGAGCUCAGUGUAUCAUACAGCUAACAGGUUGGGAGAUGUAAUAUUUCAUAUUUCAUCUCUGGUAUUAUUUUUUGUAACAGUUGGGGGAAUCAGUUAAUUAAAAUUAUAGCUGACAGAUUAUUCAAUUGUCAGUGUGAAGCCUCCAACAAUUCGUUAAUUGUGACCUCAGGAAUUUAGAGCUCUGCUCCUCGACACGAACUCCAGCAUGAGCAGCACCAGCAGCAGCAGCCUUGGGGAACAGGUUACCAGCCUGGAGUCUUGGGCUCUAUGCAUCUUAAAGCAAGGGAGAAAGGGCUGCUCCCAGGUCCCUGAGCUCGGCUGAGACCUGCGCCGUGCAGACACGUGCAGCAUCCCAUCCCGGCUUGGUCGGGGAUUACCUGGGGGUCUCUGGGCAAGUGAGUCGUGGUCUUCUCAGUGAGGGGAGAGCAGAAGAGGCUGCUCCGUGGGAAGGGGACAUGCAGGAGGUAGUAUAGUCCAGUAGAUGCCACACGCAGGAGCAAAUGCUAGCUUCCAGGGAGCCAGGACCUCUGAGUCAGCUCUUGAAGGAGGAGUGGAAAGGGGCUCCCUCUAAAGCUGAACCAAAGACAGUUAAUGCUCAAAACCAAAACAGGCUUUUUCUGAGAGAAGAAAUAACAGCUGCGAUGGGAAUAAACAAAACCGCAGCUUCCUCUCACUGUUUGCAAGGCUCUGGAAUUCCGCUGUGAUGUCAGCCUUCUCUGAACGGUGUGCGUGUGUCUGUCUUUCUGUGUUUUCCAUUUGGAGCUGCGGCUAUGACCACAUAUGUUUAAGACCAAUAGAGGAUGUUGAGUCUCCAAAAACACCCCAGGAGGAGAGAGUGCAAGGAACCCAGAGCGCCUGCACGGUGAAGGGUUUGCACAGGAACGAGAAUUACAGGAUUUUCAAGCGCCAGUGUGAGUGAGCAUAUUCCUGCCCCUCUAUUCCCUGUCGGGGCUUGAGGACCUCAUCAUCUGGCCUUGGCCAGGUGGGGUGCACAGAGGUGCCGGCUCGGACAUGCCCCCCCUGCUGUGCCAGGCACCCCGUGGGGAAACUGGGCUUCCAUUUGGGCAGAUGAAGUGAGAGUUCUGGGGGAUGAAGAUGAGGUCCCCACCUUCUCUUUGUCGCCUUGGAGACACACACUGUGGGAUGUGCAGGAGAUGUGUGCCAUGGAAACUCCUGAUGGUAACUGAGAUGGAUCUGUGCCCCAGGCUUCACGCAGGGAAGUUGAAUUAUGGGAGUUGAAUUAACGUUGGACUCCUCAGAACAACCAUGGGAGUGAGGAGCAAAGAUGGCUUCUCUGGGGGUCCUGGGCUGAGGGGCCUAGGAAGCUCCUUUGGUGCCUGCCCAGUGAGUGGCCCCAGUCCACCCUUAGGACCAUUCUACUGUACGUAUGGAGCACCUGCUGUGUGCCAGGCCCAGGUGGGCUCAGUGGAACAUGACAAAAGAGUUCUUCCACCCACGCUACCACCAUCGUGAGUUCCGGUUCGAUUUAUCCAAGAUCCCGGAAGGGGGAAGCUGUGACUGCAGCUGAGUUCCGGAUCUAUAAGGACUAAGCAUCCGGGCAACGCUUUGAUAAUGAGACCUUCCGGAUCAGCGUCUACCAGGUGCUCCAGGAGCACUUGGGCAGGGAGUCAGACCUCUUUCUACUCGACAGCCGCACCCUCUGGGCCUCCGAGGAGGGCUGGCUGGUGUUCGACAUCACGGCCACGAGCAACCACUGGGUGGUCAACCCUCGGCACAACCUGGGCCUGCAACUUUCAGUGGAGACUCUGGAUGGGCAGAGCGUGAACCCUUAAGCUGGCGGGCCUGAUCGGGCGGCAUGGACCCCAGAACAAGCAGCCCUUCAUGGUGGCCUUCUUCAAGGCCACGGAGGUGCACUCCUCCGCAGCGUGCGGUCCACGGGGGGCAAGCAGCGCAGCCAGAAUCGCUCCAAGACGCCCAAGAACCAGGAGGCGCUGAGGAUGUCCAGCGUGCCAGAGAACAGCAGCAGCGACCAGAGGCAGGCCUGUAAGAAGCCUGAGCUGUCACGUCAGCUUCCGAGACCUGGGCUGGCAGGACUGGAUCAUUGCGCCUGAGGGGCUAUGCCGCCUACUACUGCGAAGGGGGAGUGCGCCUUCCCCUCUGAACUCCCUACAUGAACGCCACCAACCACGCCAUCGUGCAGACACUGGUCCACUUCAUCAACCCGGACACCGUGCCCAAGCCCUGCUGUGCUCCUACCCAGCUCAAUGCCAUCUCUGUCCUCUACUUCGGACUGACAGCUCCAAUGUCAUCCUAAAGAAAUACAGAAACAUGGUGGUCCGGGCCUGUGGCUGCCACUAGCCCCUGAUGGAAGUCCUGCCCUUGGGGUCACGUUUAUUUGAGUCUGCACUGUGGCACUGCCCAGCAUCUCCGCCGCCCACCUUGGCAAGGAACCAGCAGACUGAUCAUCUUCUCCGGGGGCCUCCCUGUCCCUCCCCAGUUUUACAGGUCUAAGAGUGCUAGGAAUUGGAGCACCAAGUGGCUUUUGAUCCAUUUUUCAUCGGUGGCACCCUAAGGACAAGAUCCUGAGCUACUACAGGCAAAAUCUGGCAGGAAACACAUCUGUGAGGAAAGAUCACUCAGCCGCGGUCAUCAGCUGUACUGUCCCCGCCACACCCUGACUUGUUCCAGAGAUGAUUAGGACGCCCUUCAGCCAGGUGACCAGCCACCAGCUGCAGGAGGAGGGACAUGGCCAGGGUGGGCACCUGUGUCUGUGCUGAAGGGAAACAUGCAGAAUUCUUUGUAAUAAAUGUCACAAUAAAACCAAUGAAUGAAAAUGGUUAGGAUGUUACAGGUAUAUUUUCCUAAACGAUUUAUCCCUGCUUCUGGGUUUAUUCUGACUUUAUGAACAGCAGCGGUGGCCGGUGGAGGGCAAGGAGCCCCUUCUGUUCUGUUCCGGUGUCAGCUUGAGGCUGCAGGGCCUGUGUUCACCCAGAUCCCACUGCAGGGGCCGGCGGUGUGAAUGUAUGCUGGAGGGGCUCCCUGUCACCCUUCUGCAGGUGUGUGCUGGCAGAAGUGAGGCGUGACAGGACGGGAUGGGUCCUCCGGCCUCCCCUGCUGUAGGGAGCAGUUUGAAGUAGUGGAAUAGACAAGGACAGACAAUAGUAUGGCGCUUGCGACUUCAGCGUGGUGUUAACACAGAAGAAACGUAACUGUCACCGGCUUCUCCGAGCAGGGCCCUUGGCGUCUCCUCUCGGACGAUGCCCCGACUAGGGUCCUGCCAGGGGCAUUGAGGCUGCCUCCUUUUGCUUCUUGACCCCUAGCAGAGAGCUCUGCAGACAGAUUUGCUGCUUGAAGUAAGAGACAGGCCAGUGGGAAGGCUGAUGGGCACAGGGCAUGCUGGACUCGAGUCGCAAACAGAAGGAUCUAGAUCAGUGGUGGCGAACCUUUUAGGGACGGACUCCCCAACUGCAACCCAAGACCUGCUUAUUUAUCGAAAAGUGCCAACACUGCCGUUAUACCCGGACACUGAAGUUUUAGUUCAGAAAAACCAACUCAGACGCUUGGCUAUGGCGUGCUGACAGAGGGCUGUGUGUGCGCCGCUGCCACCCGCCUGCCAUAGGUUCGCCACCACUGAUCCAGAGAGCGACCUCCUAAACGAAUGCCCUGAUUUGGGGUGGCGGUAUCUGUGCUGCAGCUCUGGUGCCAGCCCCCUUGGCUCUGCUGCUCACCCCGUAAAGGGGUGUGUGUACCAGCCCCCAGCUGUAAGCGCAAGGCCUAGGGAGGGGCUGGGCUGCCCUGGGACACUUCCCACAUCUGCUCAAAGAACACAGCUCAUUUCCCAGGCACGACCCGGGCCGGGGGAACCUGGCCCUGGGGAAGCUGUUCUCCAGCUCCAUCAAGUCAGUUCCUAGAACCACACUGGCUUAGCUUUUGUUCUCUGUUCUUUUUCUUCUUUAGUAGCUUGGGCUGCAGCUCUCACUACCUGGCUGCUGAGGGAUGAGAAUUUUUGUUAGAAUUGUUCUGUUGUUGGCAGAUCUGGGGCUCUCUGUGGGACUCCUGCUUGGUGUGAGUUUUUCCACUACUUUAGUGCCCCCCGCCGGCCUCUUUUGCGCAUUGUUUGUGCAUUAAAACAUGUAAAUAGUUGUGAUGACAGAGAUUAUUUAUUUCCAUCUGAAGCUCUUUUGCAAACCCUCCUUUCAUCCCUUGUUCAGAACAACGAGCUUGCUUUCCUCCAACCUGUUUGUUUUCUUAUUUAAGAUUAUUUAUUGAUGAUUGGACCGAUGUACCCAUGGCUGUCGCAUAGAGCAGCCCUUAGUGACAAUUCUGUAUAAAUAAACACAAUAAAAAAGGGUUUUGACUUUGCAAUAAAAGGAGUCAUUUGGUUCUGGUUCUUGGGCUGUGUAUGUGUAUGUAUUGCUUCUCUGUACACUCCUGAACCCUGGGACUUCUCCCCAUUAGCAUGCUGUUUAUCUUGGGCCUGGG